This 248-nucleotide ribosomal RNA is filed under the name uncultured bacterium. RNAcentral describes it as "partial 16S ribosomal RNA". It matches the Rfam family "Bacterial small subunit ribosomal RNA", at positions 337 to 577 of the family's 1533-position model. The record is from RNAcentral.
GCCUACGGGACGCAGCAGUAGGGAAUCUUCCACAAUGGGCGCAAGCCUGAUGGAGCAACACCGCGUGAGUGAAGAAGGGUUUCGGCUCGUAAAACUCUGUUGUUGGAGAGGAACGUGCGUGGGAGGAACUGUUCACGCAGUGACGGUAUCCAACCAGAAAGUCACGGCUAACUACGUGCCAGCAGCCGCGGUAAUACGUAGGUGGCAAGCGUUAUCCGGAUUUACUGGGAGUAAAGGGUGCGUAGGUG